GAUGAACGCUGGCGCGUGCCUAAUACAUGCAAGUCGAGCGAACAGACGAGGAGCUUGCUCCUCUGACGUUAGCGGCGGACGGGUGAGUAACACGUGGAUAACCUACCUAUAAGACUGGGAUAACUUCGGGAAACCGGAGCUAAUACCGGAUAAUAUAUUGAACCGCAUGGUUCCAUCGUGAAAGACGGUUUUGCUUUCACUUAUAGAUGGAUCCGCGCCGCAUUAGCUAGUUGGUGAGGUAACGGCUUACCAAGGCGACGAUGCGUAGCCGACCUGAGAGGGUGAUCGGCCACACUGGAACUGAGACACGGUCCAGACUCCUACGGGAGGCAGCAGUAGGGAAUCUUCCGCAAUGGGCGAAAGCCUGACGGAGCAACGCCGCGUGAGUGAUGAAGGUCUUCGGAUCGUAAAACUCUGUUAUUAGGGAAGAACAAAUGUGUAAGUAACUAUGCACGUCUUGACGGUACCUAAUCAGAAAGCCACGGCUAACUACGUG
This 496-nucleotide ribosomal RNA is filed under the name uncultured bacterium. RNAcentral describes it as "partial 16S ribosomal RNA". It matches the Rfam family "Bacterial small subunit ribosomal RNA", at positions 28 to 507 of the family's 1533-position model. The record is from RNAcentral.